This 17842-nucleotide long non-coding RNA is filed under the name Ananas comosus (pineapple). RNAcentral describes it as "long non-coding RNA (ACOM_LNC032578)". Lineage: Eukaryota; Viridiplantae; Streptophyta; Magnoliopsida; Poales; Bromeliaceae. The record is from RNAcentral.
GCGUGGAAACGAAAAUAUUUAUUUCCCUUCCCGUGCUAAAGUCACCACCCUGCAAAAUACUUCUCUUUCUCAAUACUCACCUCUCUCUCAAACUCUCAAACACACCUACAGCUUCCUCUUCUUCAAUUCAAUAAGGUACUUUUUUGUUUCUUCUUCUUUCUCUUACUCCAAUAACUUCAAAGGUCUAUCUCUUUCUCUCUUUGCCCAUAAAUACUUCUUCUAUUUCAUCUAUAGGUAGUAUUUACGAUUUUAAAUUUACAUUAAUUCUAUUUUGACCCAAGAGUGAAAAUGAUCAAGAUAUUUAAACCCAAGCCUCUGUACUUGAUUUUGCUUCGGUCAAGGUGUCUAAAACAGAGACUUUAGCUGCCAUUCUCUUCCUUCUAGAAGAUUUUUGUGCAAUUAGUAGAGAUAAAGAGAAAUCCCAUUUACAGAAUAUAAUAAACUUUAGAACUAUUGAUGAGUUUGUGCAAUCAAAGUUUGCCCCUUUCAGUAUUUCAUUUUCUACCAUAUAUUUUUAUUUAAUUUUUUCUAUGAAUCCACAUAGAUGAUUGGAAUAUCUAUUAUGCAUUUCAUAUAAUCCUUUUUUUUCCCCCAACUAGCAAUAUCUUAUUCUUAUUCCUACAUAACACUUUGAUUAGAAUGUAUAUUUGCAAUAUGUGUCUUAAUUUGCUAUCAAUGACUAUUAAGAAAUAACAUUUCGUAAUUCUUAUUUAUUUUGAGUUAAAAAUGUAUAGAAUUUAGUUGAAUUAUAGACCAUUUUAAUUUGACUAUCUAACUUUCUAAAAAUUUAAUUUUACUACCUAACCUUUCAAUUUGUUUAAUUAUGUCAUUUAAUUGUUCUUCCAAUAUAAAAUUUAAAAGUUGAUUGUUUAUUUUGAUAAAUUUAUAGUUGCAGAAUUGUAAAAAGUAUGUUAAUUAAACCCGUAAAAAUAUAUAUGACGCAUUUAAAAUGGACGGUACCAAGGACCUACUCAAAAUAUUAUGGAGCAGUUAGAUUUGAUUUAUUAUUUUCCUAUAUAUAGACUAGUUGGGAAGGAUCAACUAAUCAUUGCACUGUUCUACGCAAUGUGUUGGAGAGACCAAAUUGACUUACAGUUCCAGAAGGUAGGUUACUAAUAAUUGAAUCAAUUCUAAUCCUAAUAAUCCAUUUACUAAGUAGUGGUUGUUGUGAAAUAUAGGGAAAUAGUUUCUUGUUGACGUAGAAUAUUUCACAAGGUUUCAUUUCUUCUUAUUGUAGCACUCGAUAUCACUUGAAAGAUUUUAGUGAAGAUAAUCCUCCAACAAACUCAAAGGAGCUAUUCAACCUACGACACUCCUCACUAAGAACAACCAUAGAGCAUGCAUUUGGAAUCUUGAAGCAACGAUUUAAAAUUUUAACAUGUUAUCCUCAUUUUCCAUAUCCAACACAUGUUGUUUUAGUUCUUGUGUAUUGUAUUUUGCAUAAUUGCAUAAUAGAUAUAUCACCUAGGGAUCAAAUUGUAAGAACUAUAGAAAGGAGACAUCAAACUCACUCAAAUUCAUAUGCUAGAUCAACAAGAAAACAAAGAGAAGAAAACUGGGAGUGGGUGCCGAUCAAAUAUGGAAAAGAGAUUAUGGUUCUCUUUACUAUGUAUUGUUGAAGUUUUCAACUUUUGUAUAGAUAGCUCUAAUAUGGACCUUAGGUAAAGUAUAUAUACAUAUAGAGUUGGGCUAGAAUACUAUUGAUAGCAAACGAGCUUCGUUGCCACCCAUUUAUUUUCGAUGAUAGAGCCUCCAAAUCGACGAUUGGCACCGUUGAACAUGAUCGAUACCACUUGAAGUGUUUAGAAAUCAAAUUUCAAAUCUUUUCGAAAUCAUUUGCCUAAUGAUCAAAGGGUUUCAAAAUUUAUAAUUUAAUGAUCGAUAUGAAACAUUUUCUCGUUUAACGGCGUAAAGAUAACCAAAUCAAUUGAAUUUUUGUUAGAAAAUUUUUUAAACUAUUUAAAACAGAUCUAUACUCUUGAUCUUGUUACAAGACUUCUAUCAUCAUAUUAUAUAUAUUAUAUAUAUAAGAGAGCAGAGCAGAGAGAGAGAGAGAGAGAGAGAGAGAGAGAGAGAGAGAGAGAGAGGGAGGGGGGGGGUUAGCUUAGAAUUAUAUAUUGUUGCUUUUUUUGAUAUGUAAGUUGAUAAUAUUUAUGAUGAUGGUUUGGAUGAAAUAUAGUUUGUACUUUCAUUUUUUGGUUUUGAUACUUACUGUGUAUUUUAGUAUGUGGUACGCAAUGAUAUUUGCUAUGUAUUGUAUCUUGUUUUGAAAUUUGAUAUGUGCUUUGAUUUUCAUGUUUGAUUAAAAUUCGGUAUGUAUUUUAUUUUAAGAUUUAGUGUAUUUUGUUAUACAAUUUAUAUUGUAAUUUGAUUUAUAUUUUAGUUAAUUAACUAGUCUAAUCAUGUAGCCACAAUAGGAUACUAUGGAGCAACAUAGUAAUAACAAUCAAUGUCCAUUUAGUAUAAUUCUGAAGCUAAUGUAACGUAAGGAACUAAAAAUUUUAAGUGGACAAAUAAGAUGUCCGACUUUCUUAUAAAAUUUUUGGUGCAUCAAGCUAGUAUUUGUAUGAAAGUGGACAAAUCAUUCAAAAGGCUAGCCUUUGUAGCUGCGGCAAGAGCAGUGUCAUCCAAAUUCCCAGUUUUUUGUAAUUAGACUAAAGUUGAAAAUCGGCUGUGCACCUUGAAGAUGAAGUGGUCUAGAAUCACCCAAUUAAAAAGUUUGAGUGGUGCUUCAUGGGAUCCAGUUAGCAAGACUAUUGGUUUGGCUGAAGGAUCUUACCAAGACUUUAUUCAACUAAAGUAUUUGUUUUCAAUUUCAUCUUAAAUUUCAUAUAUCAUUCACAUUUUAUAUUAAGAAGUUAUUUAUUUUAUAUUCUUGUAGGCUCAUCCCAAAGAUAUAUGUUACCUAAAUUGUCUAAUUCAGCACUAUAAUGAGCUAGCAAUCAUAUGCGGAGAUGAUCGAGCAACUGGAGAAUUUGCAUUGGAUGAUUCAAAUAAUAUCAACUUUGAUGAAGAAGAGAACAAUGAUGAUGGUGAUGACUUUGGCUUAGAUUUAUAUUCGGAAGAAUGCGAGCACAUUUCACCAAUAACCCCUUCCUAAGGACGUAAACUACAAAAUCCUAAUCGACCGGUAACCAAGUCUUGCAUAGCUACAACCUCAAAAGCCAAGAAACAAAAACAGUCAAAUUCAGAAUUUUUAUUAUUAGUGAACAAGAUUGGGGUAUUAGCAGAUUCAAUGAAGGAUACCAAGAUUAUACACAAAAAGGAGGAUAUGGAGCUCUAUAAAGUCAUAUUAUAUCCCCGAGCAUGUAGGUUGCUACAUAUCAGUACUUCCUGAGAAAUGAGAUAGCUAGAAAACUUACUUUUAGUUCGUAGCCUGGAAAUGCGAGUUGAAUGGUUAAAAUAGUUUGAAGACCAGUUUCUAAAGUAGUUUAGUCUGGUUGCUAAGUAUGAAAAGCUGUUAGUAUAAUAUUUGUUUUUUGGAACUUGAUGGUUUUGGAUGUAAGUUGGCGCAUUGUAUAGAUGGUACUACUAUACAGUUUGCUAUUUUUUGUACCUACUUACUUUUUUGUUUUGGUUUCACUAAAGUUUGUCCAAUAAUUUGAUGUUAAAUAGUUGAUGUUUUUUUUGUAAACUCUAACUCUAUUUUGUUAAUAUAUUAUAUGUGUUUGCAGUCGAAAAUCCCGAGCCUUGACCUGGUCUAAUAUCCUCCUCGGGAAGUGUGCCAGGGUGGAAAUCGGCUGCUGAUAGUGACCCUCGAAGUUUGCGCCCACGACGGAUCAAGCGAUUCGGCCGAUGAGGGAUCGAAUCAGCCGGGUUCGAAAAACUCUGCAGUAAAUUCGCUUCGGCAGUAUGAGCCGAAUGAACAGGGGAGGCCUAUAUCUCGGCUGAGAGAUGAGCCGAAUGGCUAGGACAAAAUGAGAUCUAGUCGGCCUGAGGAACCGAAAACGACUUUCUAUUAAUAAAAAAAGAGUGAUGCCCGGAGGGCAGACAGACUCCGAGGUGUACAAGGGAGUGAUGCCCGGAGGGCAGACAGACUCCGAGGUGUUUACAAUGAAGUGAUGCCCGGAGGGCAGACAGACUCCAAGGAGGCUAAGUUACAGGAACUACUCCUAGGAAAAGCGAUAAAUGCAGGAAAGAAAGAUGCAGGAAAAUAAAUGUAAGGUACCGGACUUCUAAAAUCAUGAAGUUAUGGUGUACGUUGCUUUGGAAAGCCAUUUGGAUGGUUUCGUGAGGUUCGGUGAAGUUCUGGAGCAAUCGGGCGUUUCGGUGCGCAUACGCGCGAAAACGGAACCCGAAAGGCUAACUUGGGCCGUGAGCUAAAUCCGGCAUUAGCGAGGAUGGAAAGAUGAUGAAAAGAUGCUCGAAAACAUAAUUGGAGAGUCCCGGUUCGAUUUGAAGUGAAUUGGAGGUCAAACGAGCGAAAACGGACGAAAACGGUGAAAAAGCUGAAAUUUGGCUAAGUCCUUGAGGCUGAGUUCUGGACCUUCGGGGACCGGUCUCUCACCGCAAGGACCGGUCUCUCAGGGACCGGUCUCUCACCGCAAGGACCGGUUCCCGAACGCGAAAAACGCCCAGUUUGAGCUGAUGCGAGGUUAAAAGAGUUGGGGGGCUUAUUUGGGAUUGUUACAAUAUGAGAGGGGGUUAAGAGAGCUCUUUCUCUCUCUCUUUCUCUCAUUCCCUCACUCUCCCUCACGUUCCUCUCUCUCUCUCUCUAAACGAAAGAAAAGAAGAAGAGGAGAAGAAGAAGAGAAAGAAGAAGAAGAAGAAUAAGAAGGAGAAGAAGAUCAAGGAGGAGGUUUUCAUCACCUCCAUCUUCUUCCUCACCUUGGAGCAAGCUUUGGAGAGGUAAGCCCUUAGCCCUCUCAUGGUAAAUCCCUAGAUGUAGGGUUUUGAUCUCUAGAAAUGGUUUAGAUGGAAUCCUAGCAAGCUUAAUUGAUGAUUAGCACUUGAAUCCGAAGCUUUAAUAGCGGAUUUUGCCGUAAUUGCAAUUAGGGCUCCAAAAUAGGGUUUUGAUACAUAAGGGGUUUUGAUCUCAAUUGACCCUUCUCUAACCUAAUUGGUAGGUCUACGAACGCAACGGUGCGCUCGGUUCGGCGAUCCGACGAGUGUAAGCGGAGAUAUUGGGGAUCGAAGCCGUUAAGGUACAGAUUGCCGCAGCUCGCGGCGAAAGCCUCCAAAAAUCAUGAGAACGGAUCGGGAGCAUCGUGGUGUCGUGGAAUAAACUCCAGAAUAGACGGAUCGCGGAUUGGUGGCCGUUCGGGUGGUCGCGCAAGAGUUCGAGCCGAACCGGGUCACGGGUGCCGCGGGAGGCCGAUUGCAAGUGUCGACGAGCAAUCGGAACGCGAGUUAAGGUGGGUUGUGUUUACCGAAGCGACUAGGUCGCCCUUUAUGUCUAAGAUGAUUAAGAAUCCACGUUGAUGCAUAUGAAUGUAAAUGAGGUAAAUAAAGCAUGUGGUUGAUUCAUGUAAUUAAUGCAUGUUAAUGAUAUGAUGCAAAUACUAAGUAGGUGCAUAUAAAAUGAUAUAGAAAUCAUAGGAGACAUGAUCAGCAUCAUGAGAUUAUGUAUGCAUGUUGACAUCAUAGAAUGUAUGCCAGAUGAAAUGUGGAUAUCUAUAGUACUUGAUAUGACAAUAGGACAUCAAGUAGAUCGAGUGGCAUUAACCUAGUGUUAGUAAACAUAGGUCGGACAUAGAUGACAUCUAACCUAGUGUUAAAGAACAUAGGUUGAGUAUGAACCUAGAGUCGGGAUCUAGGUGUGUGGCAUCUAACCUAGUGUUAAAGAACAUAGGUUGAGAACUGAACCUAGAGUUAAGGUAAACCUAGGUUGUGAAAUUGAGGCAUUAGACCUAGAGUCAGUUGGACCUAGGGUGGAAAGUGCAUUGGACCUAGAUAGGUCAAUAGUAUAGGGUUGGAUAUGGACCCUUGACUUGUGAAGUCGAUUCCGGAAUCCCAGUACUUGUGAACUCAAUAGUUCUUGGACCGCGGGUGUAUGCGGCGAUGUUCCUCUCCCACCGGAAAGAACUUUGAGGAUUAUGACUAAGCAAGAACAAAGAGCGCUAGGGUGUACGGCAUGUUCCUCUCCCUAUCGGGGAUCUUGGCUAUGGGUGUACGCGGCUAUGUUUCCUCUCCCACUAACGGAUCCCUGACCACGGUGCACGGACCUUCGGGCGGACCGUUGGGCGAUGUGGUUCUUGGCUUGCAGGCUGAGGUGCAUGCGACAGGAUCCUUCACCUCGAGCCGGGCAGAGUGCGGAUUAUCCGCUGUUGAUUGACUCGAGGCCGAGUCGGGUGGCUAGCUGGAAUAAGGUAGAUAGAACCUUGAGGGCUAGUGGUAAAUGUGAUAACCUAAGGUAGUAGAAACCUUAGAGUUGGGUGACAUGAGCUAAGAUUAGCGAGAUUGAUUGUAGAAUCAAUAAUUCUACUAGUUGUUGCAUAUAUUCCUGUUGCAUAUAGCAUGACAUCAUUGCAGUUGUGAGGCAAAGCAAGGUAAAGUUAGUUGCAUGUUUAUGAUAUACAUAUCUAUCUGUUUAUUGGACUAACUUGUAUUUGCCUCCCUUGGACCUGUUGGUCGAGCUCCUCCCUUGGGUGGCCGUACCCACUGGGAACCAUGGAGUUGGUUCUCACCCCACGUUGUUUUGGGGUUUUACAGGUUCGCACGUGAGCGGCGCGGCGGCGCGAGGCAAGGGCGUAGCUCCAUAGAUAGCGCCCUACCCCCAGAGACCAGAGCUAGCAGUACCCCGUCGACGUAGCUUAGGGGUAUAGAAAAUGAAAGCAAGCAAAAUGUAUUAAACUUGUAAUAACUUAGUUGCUUUGGAAGUUGAAUGUAAUAUAAAGUGUGAUGUAACUAAAUGAAUCUAAUGUGAAUGUUGUAAUAACAUAGGAUGUGUUUAUGUUGAUUGAUACCUUCCUGAUGCAAUUCUGUUUGCUGAGUACUGUUCCUGGUUGGAACCCUUGUAUUGUACUUGUUGCGACGCCUAGAACGUACAGGGGAGACUCUGUCCGCGUACAGGGGAAACCCCGGUCCGUUCGGCGGUCUGUCGGCGUGCCCGAACCGGACCAAAUUGGGAGCGGUCUCGGGGCGUGACAAUAAAGGUGGUCUUUUGUGCGCAGGGGCGAAGACUCAUUUUCAGGGUACUACACGCCUAUUCAUAGAUUUGCCCUUGCGUUCAUUUGUUGUUAUUGCACGAUCGGCCAUCUUCUCCGGAUUUGGAGGACCAUGUUCGGCCGAUUGGAACCGCCGUUUGGAACCGCUCAUAACCGCUUGCGGUUGCCACGUUUUUGAACAAACGCAGCUCAUAUCUCCUGGCGCAUUUCUUCCGUACUCUCGGUCCAGCGUUUCGAAUCCUGAAUAUGGAUAUGAACUCGGUGUGCCAACUGUCCGCGCCGGAUUGGUCCAACAAUAUGUUGAUUAUUUUUAUUUGUAAGUUUGUAAUUUUUAUCUUUUUUUUAUUAAUAUAUUGUACUCCAUUGCUUUAUAUCCAUAUACUUUUUAGAUGACUUUUGGUAUAAGAAUUAGACAGAUUACAUAUAUCUUGUCCAUUAUAUGCGUGUCUUUAUGCCCUUUUUAAAUGCUUUAUGGACAAUUUAGCAGUUGAACUUAAAAAAAACCAUAUAAAUGGUUGUGACAAUGUUGGGAUCUUAUAAACAAUUAAGUACAUAAAAUUAUUUUGAUAUGAUUAAUAGAACUCAUGUUACAAUUGUUGUUAUUCACCCAAAUAUAUCAAUUUUUAAUAGGGGGUAAUCUCACCUCCAACAUAUAGGAGAUAUUUUUAUCUCACUUUUUCCAAUCAACCAAACAUAAAAAAUAAAAACAGAAAAACAAAUUUUCUUUUCCUUUUCAUACAUUCCAAACAAUAAUAGCUGAAAAAUAACUUUUACUUUUCUUCUAACCAAACGUCACAAAUCAUAAAAUUAGUUUUCAGAAAAGUCUUUUUUUAAAAAAAUAAUUUUAAUUCAUAAUUUCACGUAGAACCAAACACAUUAAAAUGUAUUUUAAAAUGAACGUGAUUGUAAAUAACUAGAAGAUCAGGNAUCUGACAACCCAACGAUUACCGAAUAUGGUACAAUCUCUGUACUACUAAACUAUGAACUCGAUAACUGAUGCAAACAAACGGUAGACACGAGUAAGCGUAUACGAACACUCCCAGCGAGGGAUGUUCGGCCGUGAGGCCUCAACCUGAUGCACUGAAUACGAGCGAGCAUGCCAUAGCUCUUUGGAUGCUCCAGCCCUCCCUAUCUGAGUAAGCAUCUCACCCUUACGACCUCAUGGUGGCUGUGAAUCCGCCGUGUUCGACCUGGUGUGAAUACAUCCAGGAUCUUGUACUAUCUUUUUACUGUAAUUUGGCCCUAUACUGUCAGUGAUGAUCUAUCCGUAUCAUCAACCUAAUGCAACUGUACGAAUAUCGCAUCGAAACCCUGUACAUCAUAUAAACUAUCAAAGUGAACAACGUAGUAUCAUAUGAACCAACGGUACUAUCUUAUACAAGUAGUAUAUAACUAUCUAACCUAGUAUUACGGAUAACGAAUAAUACAACCCUGUAUAAUCAGUACGUAACCUGAAUGAAGUAGUACUAUUCUACUUACAUGUUUUACAACUGUAGUACAAUGAAUACUGUAUCACUAAAUCGAGUAUAAAGUAUGAAAGUAUGGACAUCAAUAAAACAAUCAUAAUAAUGAAGAGCAUAGAUGGGAAUAAAAAACCCCGGAUCACCACGUAAUGCGAUUCCAGUCAUUAACGGGUGACCUUUGAUAUUUAAUAUCAAGAAUGCGGGAGAAAAAGAAUAACAAUAAUGUCUCGGAAGCUACGGCCCGCUCCGAUCCCUGACGCCUUUCCUAUAGCGGAGCCAGAUCGACGGCUCCCUGCAAUGCUAACCACCAGGUGGAGAGCAACUAAAAUAAAACUUCUCCAAAACCUGUCAAUGGACACAUAUCUCUACUGGGGUAAAACCUAAAGAAAACACUACCUAUAACAUAGUGAAAUACUAAUUAAAACACCUAAUGAAAGGAAAAUAAAAAGAGAAGAACGAAAAUCAGAUCAACAAUCAUCGAGACUAUAGAGAUGUAUGAACAAAGAAGAGCGAAAGCGUAGAGAAAACAGCAUCUGCGGAAUAUACACGUCCGUAUACCGCCCAGACCCGUGCGCGGCCCGCCCGGAUACGGCCCAGGGCCCCGUACUGUCUAUUCUCACGUGGCUGCCAGUGUACCAAGUGGUGGUACUGUGUCGUGGGUGCCCAUUCGGGAGAGCUUAGUGAGCUCGUAGUUGUUUCGCCGUGAGGUGGUGAAUCCGAUAGGUUCACAGUGCGGGGCCCUGGCCGCCUCCGGGAGGGCUACCGCACGUGUCUGGGCGGUAUACAGAUGUGUAUAUUCCGCAGAUGUUGUUUCGCCUUCAUUUUUGUUCUUUAUCUUGCUUAUCUUAUUAUUGUUGAUUGCUAUAGUCUCGCUCAUUUCAAGAUAGUAGAUUUGGUCUCAUUUUCUUUAUAUUGAUUUGUUUCAUUCAUUUCGUAGUCCACUAUGUUAUGAUUGCGGAGUUUUCUUUAUGGUUCUAGGUUUUCUUUCCACCAGAGAUAUGUAUAUGCCCAUGUUGAGAGUUGGAGAGUGUUUUAUUUUUGUAGCUCUCCAUCUGGUGGAUCGCUGAGCAGUGAGCGACUUCUCGAUCGAGCUUCGGUGCGGGAAGGGAGCCAGGGAUCGGAGAGGGCCACACCUUCCGAGACUUUCUUUUGUAUUUUGUCUCCCGCACUAUUGAUAUUAAAUAUCAAGGGUCACCCAUUAAUGACUGGAGUCGAGUUACGUGGUGAUCCGGGGUUUUCUUUUCCCAUUCAUUGCUGUUAUUAUUAUUCGUUAUUCCUCGCUGAUGUUAUUGAUGACUUUCUUUCGUAUAUACUUUACGAUAUAAUGAUACAGAGUUCAUUCGUACUACAUUCAUACUACAUGUAGAUGAGAUAGUAUUUAUUCAUGCAGGCUACCGUUGUUCAUUUGCGAUGACAGGUUCUACAGUACGUAUUUCUUACUCGAGAUAGUACGUUGAGUCAUAUGUUCUAUGUCUCGAGUGAAGUUCCAACAUACACUAUGUUUAGUGCCUCUUUAUGACACUUAAACAUUUACAUAACCUGUAAGGUACCGGACUUCUAAAACUAUUAAGUUACGGUUUACAUUCGAUUGGAGAGCCAUUUGAAUGGUCCCGGUGAAGUUUGAUGAGGUUCGGGAGCUAUCGGGUGUUUCGGUGCGCGUAGGCGCUAAAACGGACCCGAAAGGCUAACUUGGGCCGUGAGCUAAAUCCGGAAUUAGCGAGGUUGGAAAGAUGAUGAAAACAUGUUUGAAAACAUGUUUGGAGAGUCUCGGUUCGAUUUGAGACGAAUCGGAGGUCAAACGAACGAAAACGGGCGAAAACGGAGCGAAAACGGACGAAGCUGAAAAUUGGCUAAGUCUGGGCUGGAGGUCUCUCUGGGACCGGUCCCAGGUAGAGAGACCGGUCUCUCAGAGACCGGUCCCUCAUGUAGAGACCGGUCCCCGAACCCCGAAAAUGCCCAGUUCGGGCUGUUGCAAAAAGAGGCUUGUUGGGGGGUUUUUAUGCAAUUGUUGCAUGGGUUAAGUGUAUAGAGAGGGUUGGAACCUCUCUCUCUCUCUUUCCCUCACCCGUUUAGCCCCAAACGUGCCCCUCUCUAUCUCUAAACGAAAUAGAAGAAAAGAAGAAGAAGAGGAAGGAGAAGAAGAGAAGAAGAAGAAGAAGGAGAAGAAGAUCAAGAAGGGGAUCUUCAACCUCUCCUUCGUCUUCCUCGCGCUUGGAGCAACCUAGAGAGGUAAGCUUUGUUACCCUCUCAUGGUAGAUCUCUAGAAAUAGGUCUAAUUGCUCUAGAAGUGAGAUUAGUAGGCUCCUUUGAUGCUAGUUAGAUGUUUAUUGCAUGAAUCGGAGAUCGAUUUGGGGUAUUUUGCCGUAGUCGCAAACUAGGGCUCAAAAAUGGGAUUUUUGUAAAUAGAUGGGUUUAAUCUCAUUUAACCCUCUGUAAACCUAAUUAGGGGUACAACGAACGCGUUGGUGUGCUCGGUUCGACAAUCCGACGAGCGUACGCGAAGUUAUUAACGAAACAGUCUGUUUUGGUACAGAUAGCCGCAGCACGCGAGAUAAGCCUCCAAAAAUCAUGAAAGCGGAUCGGGAGUAUCGUGGUGUCGUGGAAUAAACUCCAGAAUAGACGGAUCGCGGAUUGGUGGCCGUUCGGGUGGUCGCGCAAGAGUUCGAGCCGAACCGGGUCACGGGUGCCGCGGGAGGCCGAUUGCAAGUGUCGACGAGCAAUCGGAACGCGUGUUAAGGUGGGUUGUGUUUACCGAAGCGACUAGGUCGCCCUUUAUGUCUAAGAUGAUUAAGAAUCCACGUUGAUGCAUAUGCAUGUAAAUAAGGUAUAUAUAUAUAUGAUGCAUAUAAAUGUAAGUGAUGCAUGUUAAUAAUAUGAUGCAAAUGCUAAGUAGAUCCAUGUAAAUGAUAUGUAUAAGUGCAUUGGAAAUGUAUGCUAGAUGCAUGUGUAUAUGGACUUGAUAGGACAAGUAGGAUAUCAAGUAGAUCGAGUGGCAUUAACCUAGUGUUAAUAAAUAUAGGUCGAACAUAGAUGACAUUGAACCUAGCGUUGGUGAACCUAGGAUAAAUAACGAGUGGCAUCUAACCUAGUGUUAAAGAACAUAGGUUGAGUAUGAACCUAGAGUCGGGAUCUAGGUGUGUGGCAUCUAACCUAGUGUUAAAGAACAUAGGUUGAGAACUGAACUUAGAGUUAAGGUAAACCUAGGUUGUGACAUCGAGGCAUUAGACCUAGAGUCUGUUGGACCUCGGGUGGAAAGUGCAUUGGACCUAGAUAGGUCAAUAGUAUAGGGUUGGAUAUGGACCCUUGACUUGUGAAGUCGAUUCCGGAAUCCCAGUACUUGUGAACUCAAUAGUUCUUGGACCGCGGGUGUAUGCGGCGAUGUUCCUCUCCCACCGGAAAGAACUUUGAGGAUUAUGACUAAGCAAGAACAAAGAGCGCUAGGGUGGACGCGGCAUAUUCCUCUCAUCGGACCUGGAAGCGCGGGAUGCUGAUUCAUACGUUUCCCUUACUGUUUCUCUUUCUCCGUCUUCAAGAGAGUUUUUCGAUUCAUGAUGUGAUGGAUCUUUUAAUCUAAUGUUGGGUGUGUAUGUGUGUGAGAGAACACACAAAACUGGAAUUGGUUUGGGGUGAUGAAUAUACGAGGAUCUAUGUUACUUGGAUUUGUGUGUGAUUGAGAGUAAUACUCUGUGUAAUUGAGUGGGAGUAUUACUCGGGAGUAUUAACGGUUUUCGAGUUCUCAGUAGGUAUUGAGGGUACUCAAAGUAUUGGGAACUCAAAGGAUGUCGCCCAACCCAAACCCAGAAUAACUGUUGGGCUAAGUUGGGCUUGAGCGAUUCGUCUAAACCCGGUGACAGUUCCUCUUCAGUCGCCCUUUAUAAAGCAGGUACUGUAAGAGGGGGUGGAUUGCGCGUCUGCGGGAGCAGCGCACGGCUCAACGAGGGCCAGUCGUAUCGGAAGGCGCGCCAAGCAGCACGGAACCGCGCGCUAGCCGGGGCACGGAACGAGGGUUACAGGCGUAGACAGGAGCGUGGUAGUGGAUCACAGAAUGGAGAGACUCGUUCAAGUUGUCGCUCGAACGACACGCUUCUUAAGCGGUCUACACGUACAGAAGGUGCUGUACAUGCGUGUGAGACGUUUCGGCGUCUUGCGGAGCUCACACGUACAGGAGGCGCUGUGCGUGCGCAUGAGACGGUUCGACGUCUUGAGGAAAACCAGGAGCGUCCGAGGAACCGUCUUACUGAACGUGAAACGAACCUGCGAUAAGCAAAGUUGCGGCGUACUCUGAACUGUCAGAGUGAUGACGAGUCCGGGAGGAAGCGCUCCAGGAGUCAGAAGGGCGCGAAGUGGAGGACCGUUUCGACGUCCCGACAGUCUCAACCUGAGAGCAACACGGGAAAAGGCAGGGGACCUAGUGCCACGAGAGGGGGUGGAAACCGGAGCGAGCGGAAACCAUCAAGUAGAGCUAGCGGGAGCCAAGCGAAUCCAUCACGGAGGGAGCAGAAUUCCAGGAGCUGGAGGAACUGGGCCCGUGGCUACAGGACUUCGUCGUGUAGAGCGUGUAGGGCGAGCAGUAACGCUGCCCGUUCCAAGUGGAACUUGAUGAGGUCUGCUACCGUCUUACAACGGUAUCGACGUUGUUAUAGGUAGAGGUAGUUUAUUUUGGAGAGGAGGUUGUAGGGGUGUACAACCCUAUCCAGUCUCAUCGCGAGGAGGCGCGAGCGUCGUCUCAGGAGGUCGUACGGAUGCGCCAGUAGUUCGUUCUGCCUGAGAGAGCGGUCUCAGGCGCCGAGGAACGAGAACGGAGCGAACCAGUGGGACCCGAGUCCGUGUUGCAGUUGCUGCCGUCGAAGGCUGCUUCUGUACCAAGGAAAAGCUUGGCCGAGACUAUGGUUGACAGUGCCGGAAUCGCAAAGACAAGCGUUUCGGGCACGCCGCGGGCGGAAGGACGAGCUUCUACCCGUUCGGAAGCAGGGAUAACGAUCGGACCUGGAAGCGCGGGAUGCUGAUUCAUACGUUUCCCUUACUGUUUCUCUUUCUCCGUCUUCAAGAGAGUUUUUCGAUUCAUGAUGUGAUGAAUCUUUUACUCUAAUGUUAGGUGUGUAUGUGUGUGAGAGACAACACACAAAACUGGAAUUGGUUUGGGGUGAUGAAUAUACGAGGAUCUAUGUUACUUGGAUUUGUGUGUGAUUGAGAGAGUAAUACUCUGUGUAAUUGAGUGGGAGUAUUACUCGGGAGUAUUAACGGUUUUCGAGUUCUCAGUAGGUAUUGAGGGUACUCAAAGUAUUGGGAACUCAAAGGGUGUCGCCCAACCCAAACCCAGAAUAAUUGUUGGGUUAAGUUGGGCUUGAGCGAUUCGUCUAAACCCGAUGACAGUUCCUCUUCAGUCGUCCUUUGUAAAACAGGUACUGUGAGACGACCCCUAGAUUAACACUUCCGUUAAGUUACGUACAAUUCUUCUAUACGAUUAAUUUGACGUACGACCUCUCUCAACUGGUUCGGACAACCGGCAUGCCAUUACUCCCCGGCACCGCAAUUAAUUCGGCUCGGUGAAGCCUCAAAGAACAUGCCUACGUCUAAAACUGCAAAAACUAGAUUAAUUCGAAACUGGAAAACUCUCUAGAAGAAACAUGAGGCAGAAAAGUUGUAAUUAUUUCAUAAACGAGACAGAAGCAGGUACCUGCGAACAUCCGGCAACCGGCUUGGUGCAUUUUAUAGCCACACGAGAAAAGAGAAAAAAAAAAAGAAAAAGAACGUAAUUCAUUAAAAGACUUUGAUUAAAAACGGCAAGGCUAAAAUUGUUUAACCAUAGUUUCGGAAAGAUAAGGGAAACUCUUAAUUCUACUGCUGCUUCAAGCUCUAAGUCUUUAAACUGUCCUGGUUGUCAAGCGUAAUAACAUUCAGUUCUACGCACACGAUAUAACUGCGUUGUUCCUAACAUCUUCCAUGACAACCCUUUUCAUUUCUACAGGCUAAGAAACUGCGGCCUCAUCUUCCUCUUCUAACUGCUGUUUGGAGAAUGCCGUUAUGUUAAUGCAAAUAAGCUAAUCUAUAACACGCUCCAGAACCUACUUUUCUGGCGACGUCCUAAAACCGAAUUUAAUCUUAUAGAGAUGUACUGCUUUAGAGAGUGGUUGUUCAAUAUAAACUUCAUUGCAGAGAAGUACAACGCAUAUCACCUUCUAUAGAAAUAAUUCAGCGUAAAUCUACUUAAAUUAAGAUAAUAAUACCUAGAGGCGAGCUAUCUACAAUUUUAGCUCUUCCUUCUACUUCGGGAAAAUAAUAAUACAAAAGAUGACGGGAAAAUAUUCUUAAAAGCACUCUGGAAGAACAAACCUGCUCUAUGAGAUACAGAGCUACUACAAUUUAGGAGAAAUGAAAGUUUUCUCUUUUAACUGUACGUCUAUUCGUUGCUCUGUCUACCUCGAAGUCCUGUUCUAAACCAGCGAUCUCCCUCCAGAGCGCUCUUCCCAAGGCUAUUAUCUCCAUAUAAAUCUAGUUUCAGUUUUGUAUCCAUAGAUUAAACACCAAUAACAUUCUUAUUCCCAGUGUAUUUUCGACUCACAAAGUUCAACUUUUUAUUUUUCGUCGCCUUCUUAUUGCCACUAUUUUAAGUCCCAGUCUUUUUGUGGUUAUGAUUUCGACUUCGUUCACAACGUCGUCCUCUUAGUCUAUUUUUACUAUAGCAAAAAUGUCAAUGUCUAUUCUGUGCGUUUGUCCUACUCACCGAAUACCUGAGGCGUACAAGGAAGGUAUAGACGUACGUAUUUCUUACAAGAGCUGAGUGAGAUUCACGUGUCAAUAACUUUAACCGUGAUAAGCCCAUGUCUAUAAGCUACCUCAACACUCCUGAUAUAGACUCCAAGCCGUACAAGGCCUAUGCUCUUUUUUAGACUAGAGCAACCCAUGUGAACUAUAAUUUUCAUAAGAAGUCGACUACCUAAUUACUUCCGACGAUUUCCCUUAGAAUAUCACUACUUACGGUUCAACAGGCUGUACAAUAUACAAGAUGUUCCAAGGUGACACUGUCCAAGUCGUCGCCAUUGAAGAAGGAGAUUCAGUCUAAGACUAUCGUGGUCUAAUACCGUAUACGCUGAUCCGAUAUACUCGCUUAUACCAUACUACUUCAACCCGUUCUCUCUAGAUGAACCAUUAGUCUCAAAUCUUUUCAACCUGAAGACGCUCGUAACAGAAGAAUCGUUUGUUUUCUCUCAGUCGAAAUUCCGGCGUCAAGUAAUCUGUUUUCCUUGAGACCUGACGUAGAUAAGACUAGAAGACCCUGGAAGAGCAUGAGGCUGAGUACCACCACGAUCUAUAUACAACUGAAAAUAACUGCUAAUAAGAGCAUUUCAUACCCGCAAGAAAGACUUUUCAUUCCUACUCAACAAGUUAAUAAAGUUCGUCACCUUCCAACAGUGCGGGGCUCUGGCGAGGGUUAAACCAGGCCAAGCCCGUGCGGCUGUCUGGCGGCUUGCAUGGCCCCAAAGGGGACAUGCGCCUGUCUCAGAGGGGACAUGCAAGAUCCGCAGCGUUAGGUUUGUUACAUGUAAUGUUACCAAGGUUGGUCCUUGUCUAUAGUUAGUACUAACGCAUUCCUUCAUAGUUUGUUGUAUUUGUGUAGGAUUCUAUAAUGUUGUAAGUGUAAUCUAAGUAAAAAUGUAAUGUAAGUUGGAGGUUUACGUUAAUUCAAUAAUGUAGUAUCUAUAAUGUUCCAUUUAUGUAAACGAACGAAAGUAAAAGAUAUGGGGAUUCGAUGCAGCUGCCCCCUGACGAUCGAGACCAGAGAGCCCUGUCCCGCGAUAGAUACCUCGAUGCGGGAACGGAGCGCGGCGGCGCGGCGAGUGCACGCUUGGACAUUUUGGGGUUUUGUUGCACCCCACUCUUGGUUGAGGUACCAAGGGUCACCCAUGCCGGUGGGUUCCCUCCUCGAGCUGGUUGUCCAGAUUCCCUCCGUUUAUGUUCAAUCAGGUUAUUUAUCUAUCUAUACAUAUAGUAUUUGUACGUUGAUUGAAAUGGAACGAAACGGAGUGUUGACGUUGCUACGGUACGAUAUACGUUGUCCUUAUAUACGUUGUAUUUAUAUACGUUGUUGAUCAUCUUAAUAACUAAGAUGUUAGUUAGAGCGAUUAGAAUCGAGUACAGUAGGUUGAGAUUCCAAGGAUGAUGGAAUCCAAUAGUGUAAAUGGUGAUCGGGAGUUCCAAGAUAGAUGGAAUAAGGUCGAUCGGGGGGCUAAGCCGGAGCUCAGUUAGUUGUCGCCUAUUAGGUGCGAGACGGGCCGAGCUCCACUUCCUAGGACAGCGUACGUGGAGUCGGACGUUCGGUUCUUGGUGUAGCGGGUUGCCAGGUGGGCUUCCAGGCACGUGGCACCAGUCCCUAGGCGAUCACCCUCUCCUUUGUAUCGGCGCAUGUGGGUAUCGGCUCUAGGGGCUAUCCNCUCAUGGUAAAUCCCUAGAUGUAGGGUUUUGAUCUCUAGAAAUGGUUUAAUUGGUAUCCUAGCAUGCUAAUUAGGUGGUAAAUGCUAGAAUCUAGAUAUUUAAAGGUAGGUUUUUACCUAAUUGGAAUCUAGGGCUCCGAAAUGGCGUUUUGAUAUAUAUGAGGGUUUGAUCUCUUUUAACCCUCUGUAAACCUAAUUGGGGGUAUAACGAACGCGUUGGUGCGCUCGGUUCGAUAAUCCGACGAGCGUACGCGAAGUUAUUAACGAAACAGUCUGUUUUGGUACAGAUUGCCGCAGCUCGCGGCGGAGGCUUCCUAAAAUCAUGGAAAUGGAAUCGUAGCAUCGUGGUGUCGUGGAAUAAACUCCAGAAUAGACGGAUCGCGGAUUGGUGGCCGUUCGGGUGGUCGCGCAAGAGUUCGAGCCGAACCGGGUCACGGGUGCCGCGGAAGGCCGAUUGCAAGUGUCGACGAGCAAUCGGAACGUUAAGGUGGGUUGUGUUUACCGAAGCGACUAGGUCGCCCUUUAUGUCUAAGAUGAUUAAGAAUCCACGUUGAUGCAUAUGCAUGUAAAUAAGGUAUAUAUAUAUAUGAUGCAUAUAAAUGUAAGUGAUGCAUGUUAAUAAUAUGAUGCAAAUGCUAAGUAGAUCCAUGUAAAUGAUAUGUAUAAGUGCAUUGGAAAUGUAUGCUAGAUGCAUGUGUAUAUGGACUUGAUAGGACAAGUAGGAUAUCAAGUAGAUCGAGUGGCAUUAACCUAGUGUUAAUAAACAUAGGUCGAACCUAGAUGACAUUGAACCUAGUGUUGUUGAACCUAGGAUAAAUAACGAGUGGCAUCUAACCUAGUG